RNAcentral lists this ribosomal RNA (942 nucleotides) under Staphylococcus aureus. RNAcentral's name for it is "bacterial SSU rRNA". It matches the Rfam family "Bacterial small subunit ribosomal RNA", at positions 98 to 1026 of the family's 1533-position model. The record is from RNAcentral. Lineage: Bacteria; Bacillati; Bacillota; Bacilli; Caryophanales; Staphylococcaceae.
GCGGACGGGUGAGUAACACGUGGAUAACCUACCUAUAAGACUGGGAUAACUUCGGGAAACCGGAGCUAAUACCGGAUAAUAUUUUGAACCGCAUGGUUCAAAAGUGAAAGACGGUCUUGCUGUCACUUAUAGAUGGAUCCGCGCUGCAUUAGCUAGUUGGUAAGGUAACGGCUUACCAAGGCAACGAUGCAUAGCCGACCUGAGAGGGUGAUCGGCCACACUGGAACUGAGACACGGUCCAGACUCCUACGGGAGGCAGCAGUAGGGAAUCUUCCGCAAUGGGCGAAAGCCUGACGGAGCAACGCCGCGUGAGUGAUGAAGGUCUUCGGAUCGUAAAACUCUGUUAUUAGGGAAGAACAUAUGUGUAAGUAACUGUGCACAUCUUGACGGUACCUAAUCAGAAAGCCACGGCUAACUACGUGCCAGCAGCCGCGGUAAUACGUAGGUGGCAAGCGUUAUCCGGAAUUAUUGGGCGUAAAGCGCGCGUAGGCGGUUUUUUAAGUCUGAUGUGAAAGCCCACGGCUCAACCGUGGAGGGUCAUUGGAAACUGGAAAACUUGAGUGCAGAAGAGGAAAGUGGAAUUCCAUGUGUAGCGGUGAAAUGCGCAGAGAUAUGGAGGAACACCAGUGGCGAAGGCGACUUUCUGGUCUGUAACUGACGCUGAUGUGCGAAAGCGUGGGGAUCAAACAGGAUUAGAUACCCUGGUAGUCCACGCCGUAAACGAUGAGUGCUAAGUGUUAGGGGGUUUCCGCCCCUUAGUGCUGCAGCUAACGCAUUAAGCACUCCGCCUGGGGAGUACGACCGCAAGGUUGAAACUCAAAGGAAUUGACGGGGACCCGCACAAGCGGUGGAGCAUGUGGUUUAAUUCGAAGCAACGCGAAGAACCUUACCAAAUCUUGACAUCCUUUGACAACUCUAGAGAUAGAGCUUUCCCCUUCGGGG